UACGGGAGGCAGCAGUGGGGAAUAUUGCACAAUGGGCGCAAGCCUGAUGCAGCCAUGCCGCGUGUAUGAAGAAGGCCUUCGGGUUGUAAAGUACUUUCAGUCGUGAGGAAGGUGUUAAGGUUAAUAACCUUAGCAAUUGACGUUAGCGACAGAAGAAGCACCGGCUAACUCCGUGCCAGCAGCCGCGGUAAUACGGAGGGUGCGAGCGUUAAUCGGAAUUACUGGGCGUAAAGGGCACGCAGGCGGUUAAUUAAGUUGGAUGUGAAAUCCCCGGGCUUAACCUGGGAAUGGCAUUCAAGACUGGUUAGCUAGAGUCUUGUAGAGGGGGUAGAAUUCCAUGUGUAGCGGUGAAAUGCGUAGAGAUGUGGAGGAAAUACCGGUGGCGAAAGGCGGCCCCUGGACAAAAGACUGACGCUCAUGUGCGAAAGCGUGGGGAGCAAACAAGAUUAGAUACC
This 455-nucleotide ribosomal RNA is filed under the name uncultured bacterium. RNAcentral describes it as "bacterial SSU rRNA". It matches the Rfam family "Bacterial small subunit ribosomal RNA", at positions 340 to 786 of the family's 1533-position model. The record is from RNAcentral.